AGCCGGAGGAGGAGGGCCUAGGCAGGCCCAAAAUGGAGGCCGAGGGAGACCCUUCCUCGCCCAGCCCAACAAGGGCUCCAACAACUAUCUAUGCGGGCUUCCAUCUGGGGAGACUGAGGCCUCCAAAGACCCCCUCCUCAGCCCCAAGGCUUUCCCACAAACAAUGGCUCGAAGAUGUGGAAUUCUGGGAAGGGGGAGGCUGAGGAGGGGGAAUGGGGGCUGAGGGAGACCCCUCCCUCCAGCCCCAAGGCACUGCAGAAAAGUAAUCCAGUUUGACAUCGUUUUAAUUGCUGUGCCUCACAGCUAUGGAAUUCUGGGAAUUAUAAAGGAGCAUCCUUCUUGGCCAAUGGUUGUCCAUCCUCUGCUUCAAUGCCUCCAGUGAAGGAGAACUUCAGGCCUUCCAAGGAAACCUGUUCCAAUACCAAACAUUUGUCUCCAGAUGUUGAAGUUAAACGCUCCCAGCUCCUUCAACUUUUUCUCCUAGGGCUUCUUUUUCAGACCUCUUGCCAUCCUGGUUUCCCACAUCCGGACCACAGUUCAGGAAAGAUUGAUUUGGACUAUACAUCCCAGACCCUCAGUCAGUAUGGCAAUGGUGGCUAGGAGAAUUAUAGGAUCUGGCAUUCCAAAUGUAACUUCUUACAAACGAUGCUGUGGACACACUCUAGGUUUUUCUUUUUAUAUAUCCUUUGUUAAAAUGUGGUUUCCAAAACAGAAACUCUUGUCGUAUAAACCAGGGGUGGGAAUAAUGUGGUUUUCCACAUGUUGGAUCGCAGCUCCCAGCAUUCCUUACUCCUGGCUAUGAGGAGAGGGCUGGAGGGAGUUGUAGUCCAAUAUUAUUAUAACUAUUAUUGUUUUAUGUAUUUAUAUCCUGCCUUCCUUCCGGUACAGGGACUCAAGGCUGCAUCUGGAGGACUGCAUAGUUUCUACCCUUGGCUUAAAUUGUCUUUAAAAAUGUAUAAUUUAUGCAGGUUAGAUGGGUGCUUGACAUUAUUGGGAAGGAGUGUGGUCUUAUACACCAACAUUUUAUGAAUUUGAGGAGGGAGGAACAGUCGGACCUCUACAUUUGCUGAUUUGGCUUUUGCAGGUUUGUUAUUUAUGGUUUGGAUUAAUACGUUCUCUCUAGGAAUCUCUAGGUCCUCCAGUGGCCUGUU
Molecule: long non-coding RNA, 1151 nt
Organism: Sceloporus undulatus (fence lizard)
Lineage: Eukaryota; Metazoa; Chordata; Lepidosauria; Squamata; Phrynosomatidae
Exons: 3
Source: RefSeq, a predicted model, not a curated record